UGUGGCCAACUUGCAAUGGCAACUUUUUCACAAAUAAUAAAAUUUUUCAACUUAACUUUUGAAAGUGUUCCGGAAAUACUAAUACUUUUAUAUACAGUGUGUAAAAUAAGUUCGGAAUCAUCGAUAUUUUAGAGCUGCUAUUGAUUUUUUUAAUAAUUUUUUUUUUAGAGGCUAAUUGAAUAAUUAAAUGCAUCUUAUACGAUUAUAAUUAAAGUUCAACCCUAAUGCAAAAGCGUAGAAAUCUACCCUAACUUAAGAAAUUUAAAUGACAACCAUUACUUUUAUUUAAAUCUUCGAUUAGAUUUUGUUGUUUAAAUGCAUCAAUAUUGAGUUUGGAAGCACAUUUUGCCACAGUAAAAACUAAUCAAUGUGUAAUUCCAUAGACAGAAUAAUCAUAAAUUGCUUGAAUAUUGUUGCUUGGUUUAUCUUAAUAAUCGUAUUAAGAUAUUAAAUAUCGUAAACAUGAAACGAUCAAUAAAUAAUGUUAAAUUGAUAUUGUACCUUAUCAAUGGAGUAAUAAAAUAUCAAUAAAAAUAUGA
Daktulosphaira vitifoliae (grape phylloxera) is the source of this 539-nucleotide long non-coding RNA. RefSeq lists it as uncharacterized. Lineage: Eukaryota; Metazoa; Arthropoda; Insecta; Hemiptera; Phylloxeridae. The record is from RefSeq and is a predicted model, not a curated record. The transcript has 2 exons.